This 580-nucleotide ribosomal RNA is filed under the name uncultured bacterium. RNAcentral describes it as "bacterial SSU rRNA". It matches the Rfam family "Bacterial small subunit ribosomal RNA", at positions 347 to 917 of the family's 1533-position model. The record is from RNAcentral.
GGCAGCAGUGGGGAAUCUUGCGCAAUGCGCGAAAGCGUGACGCAGCAACGCCGCGUGGGGGAAGAAGGCUUUCGGGUUGUAAACCCCUUUCAGUCGGGACGAAGCUCCGUCGGUUAAUAGCCGAUUGGAGUGACGGUACCGACACAAGAAGCACCGGCUAACUACGUGCCAGCAGCCGCGGUAAUACGUAGGGUGCAAGCGUUGUCCGGAAUCAUUGGGCGUAAAGAGCGUGUAGGCGGUUUGUCGCGUCCGCUGUGAAAGUCCGCAGCUUAACCCUGGAAAGCCGGUGGAUACUGUCGGGCUAGAGUACGGAAGAGGCGAGUGGAAUUCCUGGUGUAGCGGUGAAAUGCGCAGAUAUCAGGAGGAACACCAAUGGCGAAGGCAGCUCGCUGGGACGAUACUGACGCUGAGACGCGAAAGCGUGGGGAGCAAACAGGAUUAGAUACCAUGGUAGUCCACGCUGUAAACGAUGGGCACUAGGUGCGGGGGGUGUCGACUCCCCCCCGUGCCGAAGCUAACGCAUUAAGUGCCCCGNCUGGGGAGUACGGCCGCAAGGCUAAAACUCAAAGGAAUUGACGGA